Molecule: ribosomal RNA, 805 nt
Filed under: Salmonella enterica subsp. enterica serovar Hvittingfoss
Lineage: Bacteria; Pseudomonadati; Pseudomonadota; Gammaproteobacteria; Enterobacterales; Enterobacteriaceae
Description: partial 23S ribosomal RNA
Rfam family: Bacterial large subunit ribosomal RNA
Source: RNAcentral
CUGAACAUUGAGCCUUGAUGUGUAGGAUAGGUGGGAGGCUUUGAAGCGUGGACGCCAGUCUGCGUGGAGCCGACCUUGAAAUACCACCCUUUAAUGUUUGAUGUUCUAACGUGGACCCGUAAUCCGGGUUGCGGACAGUGUCUGGUGGGUAGUUUGACUGGGGCGGUCUCCUCCUAAAGAGUAACGGAGGAGCACGAAGGUUGGCUAAUCCUGGUCGGACAUCAGGAGGUUAGUGCAAUGGCAUAAGCCAGCUUGACUGCGAGCGUGACGGCGCGAGCAGGUGCGAAAGCAGGUCAUAGUGAUCCGGUGGUUCUGAAUGGAAGGGCCAUCGCUCAACGGAUAAAAGGUACUCCGGGGAUAACAGGCUGAUACCGCCCAAGAGUUCAUAUCGACGGCGGUGUUUGGCACCUCGAUGUCGGCUCAUCACAUCCUGGGGCUGAAGUAGGUCCCAAGGGUAUGGCUGUUCGCCAUUUAAAGUGGUACGCGAGCUGGGUUUAGAACGUCGUGAGACAGUUCGGUCCCUAUCUGCCGUGGGCGCUGGAGAACUGAGGGGGGCUGCUCCUAGUACGAGAGGACCGGAGUGGACGCAUCACUGGUGUUCGGGUUGUCAUGCCAAUGGCACUGCCCGGUAGCUAAAUGCGGAAGAGAUAAGUGCUGAAAGCAUCUAAGCACGAAACUUGCCCCGAGAUGAGUUCUCCCUGAGACUUAGAGUCUCCUGAAGGAACGUUGAAGACGACGACGUUGAUAGGCCGGGUGUGUAAGCGCAGCGAUGCGUUGAGCUAACCGGUACUAAUGAACCGUGAGG